GACUGUCCAGUUUCACAAAUCUACAACAAUAUCGGCAUAGUGGCUCCACAGACCUUCAGUUUGGGAGGUAGCCUAAUACCUUUUCUCUACCACACUUUCCUUCAGAGCCUUGAAAAAAUUGAGCUUCCUCUGACAAUAAGUGUGUCAGCCUCAGCAUCUUUGAUUACAUCUCUGGAAGCUAUACUGCCAAGGGGAUAAUUAGACUGAACUUUUCUGAGUGGCUAUUGUUGACUCUGGAUUCUUUGUGAUAUUGUGGGUCCUGGUAACAAUCAGUCCAAAGUUAUCCAAACAGGAGCAUCUGGAGGACUUUGCUAUCACCUGGUAAUUUUCUUUCACUUGGAUUCUGGGCUGAUCAUCCUGUGAUAGA
This 367-nucleotide long non-coding RNA is filed under the name Monodelphis domestica (gray short-tailed opossum). RNAcentral describes it as "lncRNA (ENSMODG00000034765.2)". The record is from RNAcentral. Lineage: Eukaryota; Metazoa; Chordata; Mammalia; Didelphimorphia; Didelphidae.